GGACUUGUCCUGCAAUAAGAUAGAAUUUAUUGAAAAGAAUGCAUUUGAUUCAUUACCUCUUUUACAAUAUAUAAAUCUUGGUUGCAAUUUAAUCACCAAAGUGAACUUUGGAACAUUUCAGACCUGGCAUGGAAUGCAGCUGUUACACAAGUUAAUUCUACAUGAAAAUCCUCUGAUGACUGUUCAAGACCCAUAUCUUUUUAAUUUGCCAGCAUUGAAAUAUUU
Myotis lucifugus (little brown bat) is the source of this 225-nucleotide long non-coding RNA. RefSeq lists it as uncharacterized. The transcript has 3 exons. The record is from RefSeq and is a predicted model, not a curated record. Lineage: Eukaryota; Metazoa; Chordata; Mammalia; Chiroptera; Vespertilionidae.